RNAcentral lists this unclassified non-coding RNA (252 nucleotides) under plant metagenome. RNAcentral describes it as "partial contains small subunit ribosomal RNA, internal transcribed spacer 1, and 5.8S ribosomal RNA". The stretch from base 1 to 54 matches the Rfam family "Eukaryotic small subunit ribosomal RNA", at positions 1778 to 1831 of the family's 1831-position model. The record is from RNAcentral.
GGAAGUGAAAGUCGUAACAAGGUCUCCGUAGGUGAACCUGCGGAGGGAUCAUUACAGAGUUCUCGCCCUCGCGGGUAGAUCUCCCACCCACUGUUAUCGUUACUGUCGUUUCCUUGGCGGGCCGCCGGGUCCCCGGCCGCCGGCGUCUAAUAGGCGGCACGCGCCCGCCAGAGGCCUUUGAACCCUGAAUGUUAGUGUCGUCUGAGUACUAUAUAAUAGUUAAAACUUUCAACAACGGAUCUCUUGGUUCUG